RNAcentral lists this small RNA (122 nucleotides) under Vibrio mangrovi. RNAcentral describes it as "MtlS". It matches the Rfam family "MtlS RNA". Lineage: Bacteria; Pseudomonadati; Pseudomonadota; Gammaproteobacteria; Vibrionales; Vibrionaceae. The record is from RNAcentral.
UUCCCCGUUCGAUGUUCUAUUUGAUGUUGUUGUGUGUUACGGCUCGGCAAAGCCGUUGAAUUGGAUAGUUCUCCAUCAAUCUAACACACAACUUUUGAAUUGAACCUAGAACGGGUUUUUUG